CAUGCGAGAGAGGCUGGACGGCUGACGGGCCUUCGGGUCUGAGGAAAGUCUCCCCACCGCUCCGGAUACACGAACAUCUGUAAAGGAUGUCGGGCGAGAGCCCGGGCCCUGGCACAGAAACGAUAACCAUCCUCUGAAAAUGCGAUGAUGCGGAAGCUGAGAUCUCAGGGUAAAUGGAUGAAACGGCGAACCCUCGUGGGUGCAAGUUGGAAAUCGGGGAGAAGAGAAUUCCGGACUCUCCCGGUUGUUUUUGGAAACGCAUAGCCGAAUGCCGUCACUGCAAGAGUCCUCAGGACCAUUUCCUCCACUGAUGGGUGAUAGGAAAUCUUUGCAGGAACAGAAGGGAGCUUACGUGCCUCACUCGCAUAAAC
This 371-nucleotide RNase P RNA is filed under the name Methanosarcina barkeri. It matches the Rfam family "Archaeal RNase P". From Rfam's summary of the family: Ribonuclease P (RNase P) is a ubiquitous endoribonuclease, found in archaea, bacteria and eukarya as well as chloroplasts and mitochondria. Its best characterised activity is the generation of mature 5'-ends of tRNAs by cleaving the 5'-leader elements of precursor-tRNAs. Lineage: Archaea; Methanobacteriati; Methanobacteriota; Methanomicrobia; Methanosarcinales; Methanosarcinaceae. The record is from RNAcentral.